Long non-coding RNA from Ictidomys tridecemlineatus (thirteen-lined ground squirrel), 863 nucleotides. RefSeq lists it as uncharacterized. Lineage: Eukaryota; Metazoa; Chordata; Mammalia; Rodentia; Sciuridae. The record is from RefSeq and is a predicted model, not a curated record.
ACCCUUCCCCACCUUCUUCUACUCCAACCCUCUGUCCUUCUGGUUGGACACUAGAUUGGCAACCGCAAUGCCACCCCCACCCAUGCCCAGGAGGCUCACAUACAGUACACACUUAUGAGUACAUGUACAUGCGCGCGCGCACACACACACACACAUACACACACACGGCCCCAUGAGUGCCAGGCAGCGGUGGCAGACACACAGCAAUGCACAGUGACUGGUACCCGAGGAGGCAGCCGGAUUCGGCACCUGAUCCAGCACCCGUUUGGGAUUGGAAAACCAACACAAACCAGAGAGACAACAGAUAAUAUCUGUCAAUACUGACCCCCAGUCCAGGUCACCAAGAGAAGAUUCUGGGCACCAAGAGAAGAUUCUGGGCUCAAAUGGGCUCAUUUACUUGCUCUUUUCUACCUGUCAAGGGUAUCAAUUCAAUGGGAAUUCCCCAGCAAUUAGCAGAGAAUGGCUAGGAUUCUCUGCAAGGAUGCCUUGGGAAGACUGACAAAACAGAGCCUGUCUUUGGGGAAAAGUGGUCACCCCUACCCAUCUGGAAGGUCAAGAAUUUGGGGAAAAGAGCCAGGCACAAUGAACACAGCAACUUGGGAGGCUGUGGCAGGAAGAUAGCAAGUUGGAGGCCAGCCUGGACAACUUAGUGAGAGUCUGUCUUAAAAUAAAAAAGUUUAAAAAGUGCUGAGGAUGUGAUGAAAUGCUGUCGGGUUCAAUCCCCAGUGCCAAAUACAUCAAAAAAGAAUUUUGGAAAAAAACAAAUAAAAGGCCAUCUGACUUUGAGUUGUUGUGGGAUUUUUUUGAAUUUUUUUUUUAAUAUUUAUUUUUUUUUUUUAGUUUUCGGCGGACAUAACAUCUUU